Molecule: ribosomal RNA, 465 nt
Filed under: uncultured bacterium
Lineage: Bacteria
Description: partial 16S ribosomal RNA
Rfam family: Bacterial small subunit ribosomal RNA
Source: RNAcentral
GACGAACGCUGGCGGCGUGCUUAACACAUGCAAGUCGAACGGAAAGGCCCUGCUUGCAGGGUACUCGAGUGGCGAACGGGUGAGUAACACGUGGGUGAUCUGCCCUGCACUUCGGGAUAAGCCUGGGAAACUGGGUCUAAUACCGGAUAGGAGCCAUUUUUAGUGUGAUGGUUGGAAAGUUUUUUCGGUGUAGGAUGAGCUCGCGGCCUAUCAGCUUGUUGGUGGGGUAAUGGCCCACCAAGGCGGCGACGGGUAGCCGGCCUGUGAGGGUGGACGGCCACAUUGGGACUGAGAGACGGCCCAGACUCCUACGGGAGGCAGCAGUGGGGAAUAUUGCACAAUGGGCGCAAGCCUGAUGCAGCGACGCCGCGUGGGGGAUGACGGCCUUCGGGUUGGAAACUCCUUUCGCUAGGGACGAAGCUUUUUGUGACGGUACCUAGAUAAGAAGCACCGGCUAACUACGUG